This 242-nucleotide ribosomal RNA is filed under the name Tectovalopsis sp. PCT-4602. RNAcentral describes it as "partial 28S ribosomal RNA". It matches the Rfam family "Eukaryotic large subunit ribosomal RNA", at positions 149 to 387 of the family's 3401-position model. The record is from RNAcentral. Lineage: Eukaryota; Metazoa; Arthropoda; Malacostraca; Amphipoda; Alicellidae.
GAUUCUCUAAGUCAGCCACGAAUAGGCUAUCCCAACUAACGGCGGGAAUGACUCCAUGGAGGGUGUAAGACCCGUGUGGGCGCGUGUCAAUGUUGUAUGGGUUCGGCCUCUUCCCUGAGAGUCGCGUUGCUUGAACAUGCAGCCUAAGAGGUCGUAAACUCGAUCUAAGGCUAAAUAUGUCCACAGGUCCGAUAGCAAACAAGUACCGUGAGGAAAAGUUGAAAAGCACUCUGAAGAGAGAG